UCCCUCUCAGGACCGCACCUGGAGAGUUUCCAAUACUCUAUCAGUUCCGAUUAAGAGAGGGAGAGUCAGCAGAGGCCUACCCAUUCCAUUCCUAACUUGGGCAGUGGCUAGAGACUGGAAGGCCAACUGCUACAAGU
This is a small nucleolar RNA of Ornithorhynchus anatinus (platypus), 137 nucleotides long. Lineage: Eukaryota; Metazoa; Chordata; Mammalia; Monotremata; Ornithorhynchidae. The record is from RefSeq and is a predicted model, not a curated record.